Long non-coding RNA from Uloborus diversus, 335 nucleotides. RefSeq lists it as uncharacterized. The record is from RefSeq and is a predicted model, not a curated record. The transcript has 3 exons. Lineage: Eukaryota; Metazoa; Arthropoda; Arachnida; Araneae; Uloboridae.
UGCAAUUAUGAAGUUAAUACUAAACUUAAAAAUUCUCUAAAACUUUUAUUGAUGUCACUUUAAAAGCUAGAAAACAGGAAUUUGUUUUCAACUGUUUUAAGAAAUGCCUAACAAAGAACAUGAUGACUUUUCUGAUAGAAAAUUUCGAGAAACCCUCAACAUCACUAUUAUUAAUAAUUUCAUGGACCUGGACAAAGGUCUUAAUCCUGAAUUUAAUGCUAUGUUAUCUUCAUUCUUUCACCACAUGCAAAAUUCUUUUAAAGAAAUACCCCACAUAUUUGUAAGUUGCGGCUUUGCUAGUGAAAAUGAAGAUAAUCCGUCAUCUUCAGAAGUCA